CUUGGGGGGGGGUGCUAUACAUGCAAGUCGAACGCUUUGUCGGUUCAACUGAUUUGAAGAGCUUGCUCAGAUAUGACGAUGGACAUUGCAAAGAGUGGCGAACGGGUGAGUAACACGUGGGAAACCUACCUCUUAGCAGGGGAUAACAUUUGGAAACAGAUGCUAAUACCGUAUAACAAUGACAACCGCAUGGUUGUUAUUUAAAAGAUGGUUCUGCUAUCACUAAGAGAUGGUCCCGCGGUGCAUUAGCUAGUUGGUAAGGUAAUGGCUUACCAAGGCGAUGAUGCAUAGCCGAGUUGAGAGACUGAUCGGCCACAAUGGGACUGAGACACGGCCCAUACUCCUACGGGAGGCAGCAGUAGGGAAUCUUCCACAAUGGGCGAAAGCCUGAUGGAGCAACGCCGCGUGUGUGAUGAAGGGUUUCGGCUCGUAAAACACUGUUGUAAGAGAAGAAUGACAUUGAGAGUAACUGUUCAAUGUGUGACGGUAUCUUACCAGAAAGGAACGGCUAAAUACGUGCCAGCAGCCGCGGUAAUACGUAUGUUCCAAGCGUUAUCCGGAUUUAUUGGGCGUAAAGCGAGCGCAGACGGUUAUUUAAGUCUGAAGUGAAAGCCCUCAGCUCAACUGAGGAAUUGCUUUGGAAACUGGAUGACUUGAGUGCAGUAGAGGAAAGUGGAACUCCAUGUGUAGCGGUGAAAUGCGUAGAUAUAUGGAAGAACACCAGUGGCGAAGGCGGCUUUCUGGACUGUAACUGACGUUGAGGCUCGAAAGUGUGGGUAGCAAACAGGAUUAGAUACCCUGGUAGUCCACACCGUAAACGAUGAGUGCUAGGUGUUUGAGGGUUUCCGCCCUUAAGUGCCGCAGCUAACGCAUUAAGCACUCCGCCUGGGGAGUACGACCGCAAGGUUGAAACUCAAAGGAAUUGACGGGGACCCGCACAAGCGGUGGAGCAUGUGGUUUAAUUCGAAGCAACGCGAAGAACCUUACCAGGUCUUGACAUCCCUUGACAACUCCAGAGAUGGAGCGUUCCCUUCGGGGACAAGGUGACAGGUGGUGCAUGGUUGUCGUCAGCUCGUGUCGUGAGAUGUUGGGUUAAGUCCCGCAACGAGCGCAACCCUUAUUACUAGUUGCCAGCAUUCAGUUGGGCACUCUAGUGAGACUGCCGGUGACAAACCGGAGGAAGGUGGGGAUGACGUCAAAUCAUCAUGCCCCUUAUGACCUGGGCUACACACGUGCUACAAUGGCGUAUACAACGAGUUGCCAACCCGCGAGGGUGAGCUAAUCUCUUAAAGUACGUCUCAGUUCGGAUUGUAGGCUGCAACUCGCCUACAUGAAGUCGGAAUCGCUAGUAAUCGCGGAUCAGCACGCCGCGGUGAAUACGUUCCCGGGUCUUGUACACACCGCCCGUCACACCAUGAGAGUUUGUAACACCCAAAGCCGGUGGGGUAACCUUCGGGAGCCAGCCGUCUAAGGUGACCAG
This 1480-nucleotide ribosomal RNA is filed under the name Weissella confusa. RNAcentral's name for it is "bacterial SSU rRNA". It matches the Rfam family "Bacterial small subunit ribosomal RNA". The record is from RNAcentral. Lineage: Bacteria; Bacillati; Bacillota; Bacilli; Lactobacillales; Lactobacillaceae.